RNAcentral lists this long non-coding RNA (200 nucleotides) under Sorghum bicolor (sorghum). RNAcentral describes it as "long non-coding RNA (SBIC_LNC011601)". Lineage: Eukaryota; Viridiplantae; Streptophyta; Magnoliopsida; Poales; Poaceae. The record is from RNAcentral.
CAAAUGGGCCAGCAGCUUGAUCGCGAUGGCGGUCUCCGACUCCAAGGUUUUUCCACACGAGAUUGACGAAUCAGCCGCACGAGCAGAUUUUCGAAUGCCACCCUUUUUGUCUGCAGCUUUGUGUACCGGUAACGAAAAUUCAGAACGAGAGAGGAAUUCCUUUUUCAAUUUUUUGGUCGCUUUUUGUCCCCUCCACCCUC